This 68-nucleotide transfer RNA is filed under the name Marmota monax (woodchuck). Its description in RNAcentral is "tRNA.Ala". Lineage: Eukaryota; Metazoa; Chordata; Mammalia; Rodentia; Sciuridae. The record is from RNAcentral.
GGAUGUCUAUUUCAGUGGUAGAGCAAGCCUAGCAUGUAUGUGGCCCUGGGUUCGAUACCCAGCAUUCA